AUGGGUUCUCUGACCAUGGUUCUUCACUCUUGUCACUCAAUAAUUAGGUCAGGUUCUAUUAUUUUAACCUCUUUGGCUCCUUGGCAUCACAAACACACCUAUCUGGCUAGAGAGGUUCUGUCACCUUGGAGCUGGGGAGGAGAGGAGAGGAGAGGAGAGAGCACAGUUGGUGACCUCAGCAUCCUCUGCUAACACUGC
Molecule: long non-coding RNA, 198 nt
Filed under: Monodelphis domestica (gray short-tailed opossum)
Lineage: Eukaryota; Metazoa; Chordata; Mammalia; Didelphimorphia; Didelphidae
Description: lncRNA (ENSMODG00000048307.1)
Source: RNAcentral